AUGCUCACAAGUCUCAUCCUUGACUUAUUGAUUUGGGCUCAUCUGGGAAUUAACUACCUCCAUCAGCUGAUGGGAAUUGUCUUUCCACAUUCUAGCUGGAAAAUAGGCUGUCUGAGCUUCUGCAGAAAACAUUCAAAGAGUGAUGGGCAAAAACGACCAUCGUUUCAACGGGACUCGCUGGCUACAUCUCUGCGGCUUCUUGCUGACCACAGCCAGAGCAGUAAGGAAGAUAACUUGACAACUUUAUGCCAUCUUCUGUCACUCUGAAUGCUGGAGCCACUUGUCCCUGAGUUACAAAACACCAAACGUCUUCUCUCCAUCAUCUGACAGUGAGAUGAAUCUUACCUGCUGACGUGAUUGCUGCUGUCCGGCCAAGAGUAUGCUCAUUUGCCAAAUACAUCAUGUUCAAAACUGGCUGAGUCCUGAAAUAAAUCUCUUACCUCUUUAUAUUUCCCA
RNAcentral lists this long non-coding RNA (456 nucleotides) under Cyanistes caeruleus (blue tit). RNAcentral's name for it is "lncRNA (ENSCCEG00000010571.1)". Lineage: Eukaryota; Metazoa; Chordata; Aves; Passeriformes; Paridae. The record is from RNAcentral.